Molecule: small nuclear RNA, 160 nt
Filed under: Salvator merianae (Argentine black and white tegu)
Lineage: Eukaryota; Metazoa; Chordata; Lepidosauria; Squamata; Teiidae
Description: U1 spliceosomal RNA (ENSSMRG00000006668.1)
Rfam family: U1 spliceosomal RNA
About the family: U1 is a small nuclear RNA (snRNA) component of the spliceosome (involved in pre-mRNA splicing). Its 5' end forms complementary base pairs with the 5' splice junction, thus defining the 5' donor site of an intron. There are significant differences in sequence and secondary structure between metazoan and yeast U1 snRNAs, the latter being much longer (568 nucleotides as compared to 164 nucleotides in human).
Source: RNAcentral
AUACUUACCUGGCAGGGGAGACACCUUUAUCACAAAGAAGGUUUUUCCAGGGUGAGGCUCAAACAUUGCACUCCGGCUGUGAUGACCCCUACUAUUUCCCCAAAUGCGGGAAACUCAACUGCAUAAUUUGUGGUAGUGGGGGACUGUAUGCAUGCUUAAU